CGAAGUGGAGAGUUUGAUCCUGGCUCAGAACGAACGCUGGCGGCGUGCCUAACACAUGCAAGUCGAACGAGAAAG
This 75-nucleotide ribosomal RNA is filed under the name Deltaproteobacteria bacterium. RNAcentral describes it as "partial 16S ribosomal RNA". It matches the Rfam family "Bacterial small subunit ribosomal RNA", at positions 1 to 74 of the family's 1533-position model. Lineage: Bacteria; Pseudomonadati; Myxococcota; Myxococcia. The record is from RNAcentral.